AUAACUCAAAAUUUAUUUAUAUAUACUACUCAUAUGUGAACUUAAGACUUAAACCCUAGAGAAAAAGUUUAGUUAAGAAGAGAUGGCACGUAGUAGCAGAAAUAUUAGGGUUUUGAGCUUAGCCAUUUUGUUGGUUUGUGUUAUUGUAGCUUGUAGUCUUUUGGACGGAGCUUUUGCACAGGCAGGAUACGGCAUUGGCACCUUGAAUGAAGAGAGCAAUAUUGGCAAAUUUCAUGCAGCUCUAACUCACUGCAAUAGUGCUGAUGUUGAAAAUCAAAGUUGUUGUAAAGCACUCAAUGCUUUGGAUCUUGCAUGGAACUCUUUGCUUGGAAGGAAUUUCGUAGAUGAUCUCUUCAAAUGUGGUGUUAUUCAACAACGUUGAGCACUUGACGGACUUGUCAAGUUUCGUCUAACAAGAGACCAGCCUUGUGCUUUGACCUCUGAUUUUCCAUUAUGUCUUGACA
Molecule: non-coding RNA, 464 nt
Organism: Nicotiana tabacum (common tobacco)
Lineage: Eukaryota; Viridiplantae; Streptophyta; Magnoliopsida; Solanales; Solanaceae
Source: RefSeq, a predicted model, not a curated record